This 266-nucleotide unclassified non-coding RNA is filed under the name Hevea brasiliensis (rubber tree). Lineage: Eukaryota; Viridiplantae; Streptophyta; Magnoliopsida; Malpighiales; Euphorbiaceae. The record is from RNAcentral.
AAAAAAAAAAAAAAAAGAAAAGGGUACCACAUGGAAAGAUAGCAUAAGAGAAUAGCUUAAAUUGAUAAUAGGUCACCAAAUUUCACAAACAUUCCAAAACAUCUAUACAUGUCAGAUUCUUAGCUGACACCAUAAAAGGGGAAAUUAUUGUAGAGAUACAUUAGAUCUCUUAAACCAUAGUUAUUAAAGGCGCAAAGGUGUGUGCUUGAAUGAGGUGCGGCUCAAAAAACAUGAAAUUUGAUUAAAAAAAUUAAAAUUAAAAUCAA